CCCACCCUCAGACAGAUUCUCUCCUCGGAGAGGCGCGGGGGCCCGUUCUUGAGAAGCGGAACGUGGGGAGGUUGCCGGUGUUGCAGCGUUGAGCGAGAGCACCCGGCGCCGGAGGAGGCGCAGGAGAAGGUGAAGGAACUGGUUCUGUACAACCUGUGCACGGUGCGGCGGAUGAGCCCUGCCGAAUAGGCCCGCCAGCGCGCCCACAAGUACAAGUAGCAGAGCGUAAUCAGCAUGACGCGCGCCGCGGGCGACACGCCGGGGGAAGGAGGUUAUUCAACGGCCACCUCGCCAGCCCCCAUCCCAGCUCAGCAAUUGCAGAAGGGUGCGAAAAGUGGCGGUGGAGCCGCUGCCGCCGCUUCCGGAUUGGCUGUCCCGGUCCUCCUCGCGCUCAGAGAAAGGGACCGUUGAUUGGUCGAGCGUCUCUCCCUCCCAUCCCCGGCUCUUGGUUCUGGACAGGAGCAGGCGCAAACGAGACGGAAGCGCCACGGGUUUGCGAGCGAGCGCCUGUAGUUUCUUGCCUGCCUCCUACUGCUGUGCCCGAGUUCAGACCGAGAUAAGAGCCCCCAAGAUUAGCUUUGGAGGGAAAGAUGGUUUUUUGAAAAGAAUGUUUCUGAGCAAAAAGCUUUCCAAUUAUCAUUCCGUAUUUCUUAUUCCUGUAUCUGCAUCUAGAGCUACUCUCUGCUCAGCAGUUGCUUUCUUUUCCUCUCUGUGGCGCGCACGCAUCCAUGUUAUCCGCGAUGGCGUCUCGGAUCACAGCAAUAGCCCGACCGUGCAAAGGUAGGCGUACGUUAGUGGCUUCUAAGCGUGCCUACCUGCAUCGGAUCGGGCUGUAAAGCAGACAAUCCAUGGUUGCACAUACUUGUUCUGACGCCAGCAGAUGCGACCAGGGUUUUAUAGUAAAAAGGGGUCGAGUGUGACCAGCGUCGUGUGCCCCCGUUUUCAGAAGAGAGAGAUGGAAAGAGACACUGGAACCUGUAAGGUGGAAAUUUUCCAGAACGGAAUCCUGAUGUAUAAAAUCAACAGACACAGUUCCCUGUUGUGGGAUACUGUUCCUUGCCCUGUGACGAUGAACUGAACUUCUUGAAAGGUUACAACUUUAAAAAUUAUGCUCCCAGUGGGCAAUAUAUGGCUGAGGAUGAAUGGCACUUCACUUGUGGGUAGGAUCUCUGAAAGAUGCACUGAGACCCAGGAGGCCUGUAGCAUCCAAUUUUCUUCACUCUAUAGAUCAACUCUAAGAUGGACAAAGUAAGAAAGGUACAUGUUUUCAUGCUGCCACUUGAAAAUGGUAGUGUGAGGGCAGGAGAAGGCCUGGUCAACAUACAGUGCUCACCCACCCCAUCACUCAUAAGUCAUGGCUUUAGUCAUUUGUCAGCCAGCUGGUGCGUUUGGCCUGGCCAGCAGGAUCAGAUCAGCAGGAAUCAUCUCCUUCCCUGCCAUUCCAAAAAGAGUUUCCCCCCUGAAGACACAUGACACGACUGACUGAAACAACACUGGGCCCAACAGCCUAGCAAAAUAUAUUCAUAAAGAUGUCUUGGAAAGACACUACGUUCAUAAAAAAUUUUUGUUCAGGAGUCAAUUUGUUUCUGGAUUGUCUAGAACUGGUACACAAAUACUGUGAAGUGUUUCCUAACUAUCUGUGUUUAUUUUUGCAAGGUCCUGUUUACAUGACACAGACACAUGUUCUGCCUGCAACUUUCCCUGGCCUCCCAUGUGAACAGAAGGAGCUGGGCUAUUCUUCUGUUAAUUACUACAGUAGAGCCCCGCUUAUAUGGUGGGUUCCGUUCCAGACCCCCGCCGUAAAGCGGAAAACGCCAUAAAGCGGAACCCCAUUGACUUUAAUGGGCCGCGUCACGCAAAAACAGCGCAAAACGUCGCAAAAGGGGGGAAAAACCCUUUAAAAUUGAAAAUGAAAGGCGCCGCAUUAGCGGAACGCCGUAAUGCAGGGCCCUACUGUAUACAUAAGAGAUGUACCAUGAAUGGUGCAAUAAUGAGAAAUCAAAACACUGCAUAAUUCAUUGAGAUUAGU
Molecule: long non-coding RNA, 2029 nt
Organism: Rhineura floridana
Lineage: Eukaryota; Metazoa; Chordata; Lepidosauria; Squamata; Rhineuridae
Exons: 4
Source: RefSeq, a predicted model, not a curated record